Molecule: non-coding RNA, 87 nt
Organism: Cryphonectria parasitica EP155
Lineage: Eukaryota; Fungi; Ascomycota; Sordariomycetes; Diaporthales; Cryphonectriaceae
Source: the annotation of a RefSeq genome assembly
UCCGAUAUGGUGUAGUGGCCAACAUUCCGCGUUUUCAAGUUCACUUGAUGCUCCGCGGCGCCCGGGGUUCGAUUCCCCGUAUCGGAG